RNAcentral lists this long non-coding RNA (738 nucleotides) under Citrus sinensis (sweet orange). Its description in RNAcentral is "long non-coding RNA (CSIN_LNC003625)". Lineage: Eukaryota; Viridiplantae; Streptophyta; Magnoliopsida; Sapindales; Rutaceae. The record is from RNAcentral.
UUCUGAAGAGGAGGCAAUGAUGGAAUGAAAGAUUAAUUGAUCUUGACGUUUCCAGUGAAGGUAUGCUGGGUUUGGGGUGGAUGCAGUUUCACUGCUAGAGGCCAAUGUUGGGUCUGGACAGGGAAAUGAUCCAUCUAUGUAUUUGAUAAGAUCAUAACCAAAAGCAAGGGAUAAAAAUUGAGCUUGCCAAGUAAAACAGUUUUCUGGUGUAAGUUUCAAAGGAAGCUGUGCAGCAGCAUUAAUAGAGAUACCCAUUUUUACACCCAUUUUUACUAAGAAACUGAAAGCAAUAGAAAAAACUUUCGAAAGGGGGGGGACUAAACAGGGACAAGAGGUAUCCGCCGAAGAAGAUCCUUCUCCUUCCCUUUUUUCGGAAGAAAAGGAGGAUCCGGACAAAAUCGAGGAAACGGAAGAGAUCCGAGUGAAUGGAAAGGAAAAAAAAAAAGCACGAAUUCCACUUGUGCUUUAAAGAGACAUGCGAUAAAAAUAGCUUUGUUUAUGAAAUUUCUUAUCUGGAUGGGAAUCAAGAAAAUUCGAAAUUAGAAAUAUUUCAAUUAUUUAAAGAAAAAAAAGAAGAAAAAUAUUAAAAAGAGUAAUAACGAAAAUAAAUAUAAUAAGAGAUAAAAAGAUAUGCGACUUCCCCCUAAAUAUUUUAUACACCCAGUAGAUUGUUGGGUUGAUUGGGUAGGGGAAGUGGCUGUAGAAGUAGGUGUUGUUUGAUCAGCCAUUAUAAAAAAG